UUGGGAAACCCUUUGAACCAUUGAAAACACAUCCUUGAACACUUAUAUACACAUUUAUCUUUUUAUCAACCCAUAUAGCAUACGAAUCAUCCUCAAAACAAGGCUAAAAAGACUAGAAUAGUGACACUAGAAUGCAUAAAUACACCCAACAUCAGGUGUAGCAAAGUCGUGGAAGGUAGAGGUCACGGGGGGACCAAACCUGAAAACCUAUGUUUACCAAUGUGAGGUUUGGUCAUGGUGAUCGUCUGCAUGAUAUCACACUUUAUAUUUUGGUGGAUUUACUAGCCAUCCCAGAUUUAUUUCUCUAGUACGUGUGGCUUCAUGUACUUGGACCCUUUUAGCAGGGAGAGCUGAACCCAUAUAACCAGUGGGUAGUUUUAAAAUGGAAAAGAUAAAAAACCUAGUUAAAGGUUUUAAAUAUAUACUAAACCUUGUUCCCUU
Molecule: long non-coding RNA, 441 nt
Filed under: Capsicum annuum
Lineage: Eukaryota; Viridiplantae; Streptophyta; Magnoliopsida; Solanales; Solanaceae
Description: long non-coding RNA (CANN_LNC000475)
Source: RNAcentral